CACAAUGCCAAUUUGUUGUGAAGCUGGACACAAGUGCUGGGAGAUUAUUCUAGUUCUUAUCUCUGCUGGCUUAGGUUUUGUUGGUAACAUAGUAGAAAGUGAAAUUCCUGGAUUUUUUUCAGUGUACCACUUUCUUUCAAAGAGUACAAAUCUUCAGAAGCAGAAUGUUAAAAAGACAGCAGGAAAAACAGAAUGCCUCAGGAAUACCGUGGCCUAAUUCUGGGUUACAAGGAAGAAUUCACUGUGUUGUUUCUGUUUGUGAUACUUCAGUUGGAGACUUGGAUGUAUUUUAUGAACUUGCAAAACUGAAGCCUCCAAUUUUUUCUUCCUAAAGACAGUUACAACAGCUGCUAUAUCUACAUUUUAAAUGCUACAUAUCAUGAUUUGUGCAAUAUUUUCAUAUUUUAUGUAAAAAAUAUUUCUAUUCUACAGUAUUUCUGUCCUUAUUAAAU
This 452-nucleotide long non-coding RNA is filed under the name Coturnix japonica (Japanese quail). RNAcentral's name for it is "lncRNA (ENSCJPG00005014947.1)". Lineage: Eukaryota; Metazoa; Chordata; Aves; Galliformes; Phasianidae. The record is from RNAcentral.